Molecule: small nucleolar RNA, 139 nt
Filed under: Setaria italica (foxtail millet)
Lineage: Eukaryota; Viridiplantae; Streptophyta; Magnoliopsida; Poales; Poaceae
Description: Small nucleolar RNA Z247
Rfam family: Small nucleolar RNA Z247
About the family: Z247 is a member of the C/D class of snoRNA which contain the C (UGAUGA) and D (CUGA) box motifs. Most of the members of the box C/D family function in directing site-specific 2'-O-methylation of substrate RNAs.
Source: Rfam by way of RNAcentral
CCUUUGGAUGAUGAAGCACUUGUCUCCCACAUCUGCAACGACCUCGACUUCGAGUACAACCCGGUGGUGAUAGCAGUUGCCGCAAGGGUUUAGGCGAUCUCGAUCCCUGAGCUCUACUCUCAAUUGCUCAGCUUCGAGA